GAACGCUAGCUACAGGCUUAACACAUGCAAGUCGAGGGGUAGCAGGGUAGCAAUACCGCUGACGACCGGCGCACGGGUGAGUAACACGUAUCCAACCUUCCCAUAACUCAGGGAUAGCCUUUCGAAAGAAAGAUUAAUACCUGAUAGUACUUUUUCAAGGCAUCUUGAGAAAGUUAAAGAUUUAUUGGUUAUGGAUGGGGAUGCGUUCCAUUAGAUAGUUGGUGAGGUAACGGCUCACCAAGUCUUCGAUGGAUAGGGGUUCUGAGAGGAAGGUCCCCCACAUUGGUACUGAGACACGGACCAAACUCCUACGGGAGGCAGCAGUGAGGAAUAUUGGUCAAUGGGCGAGAGCCUGAACCAGCCAAGUAGCGUGAAGGAAUGAAGGUCCUAUGGAUUGUAAACUUCUUUUAUAGUAGAAUAAAGUGAUCCACGUGUGGAUUUUUGUAUGUAUACUAUGAAUAAGGAUCGGCUAACUCCGUGCCAGCCGCCGC
Molecule: ribosomal RNA, 491 nt
Filed under: uncultured bacterium
Lineage: Bacteria
Description: bacterial SSU rRNA
Rfam family: Bacterial small subunit ribosomal RNA
Source: RNAcentral